CAAUGUCUACCAGCAACAAGGGUGGUAGCAGCGGUGACAACGGACAACAAAACCGGCAACAACAUUGCAGUAUCCUGCAUAGAUAGGUUUUUAUUACUGCAAAAUUGAUCCCGGCAGCGCUACCGGUAGUUGCGGUAGAUAGGAUUGUACAUGCAGGUCUCUGCAUAUUGCACCAGGUCUCUGGGCGCAGGCAGACGGGUCGCCAAACCUGCAGAGGAAAGUUUGAGACUUUGGAGGCGAAUGGAAAGAUUUGGAGGUCUACUCAGGGAAACGGAAGCAGAACAGAAAACUUUGGAAAUGUAUCUACAGAAGGAAAGGAGGGUGAAGCGUACCGAGCUCAUAGGCUUUUGCAGCCACGGCGGCAGCAAUGUGAGCGGAGAUCUUUCUGAUGCUGCUGAAGGGCGGGAAGAUCGAUCCCUUCUCAAAGUUCUCCUGAUUGGCCUGAUCAGCUAGUGCUUCCGCU
This 463-nucleotide long non-coding RNA is filed under the name Setaria viridis. RNAcentral's name for it is "long non-coding RNA (SVIR_LNC005296)". Lineage: Eukaryota; Viridiplantae; Streptophyta; Magnoliopsida; Poales; Poaceae. The record is from RNAcentral.